Molecule: long non-coding RNA, 1554 nt
Organism: Dasypus novemcinctus (nine-banded armadillo)
Lineage: Eukaryota; Metazoa; Chordata; Mammalia; Cingulata; Dasypodidae
Source: Ensembl
UGCUCUAUCUAUCACGUUUGUAAAUACAUUUGUCUUUGAACCAGUGGUUGUGCUUCCAGGAAUUGAUCAAUGCACAGACAAGAGGUUCCUGUGAAGUAGCAAAUGGUUGGAAAUGAUCCACAAGGCCAUCAGCAGGGGAGAGAUUAAGAAAAUUAUGGCUCUAAAAGGAAAUGCUCUGCAGUCAGUGAGUGGAAUAAAGUAGGUCUGCAUGUGGAGUAAGCAGGGAAGGAAAAAAGCACCCAGUAUGCUGCCCUCUGCAUUCAACACAAGGAUGGAGAACGAAACCAGAGUGACAGCAAAGGGAUGGGCAGAGUUCCUAUCUGUCUCCUGUGCUCACAGACCUGGCCCUGCAGUGAUGGGAGAUGGAGAUCGAGCCUGCCUCCGCCCUCUGGUGGCUGCUCUGGAUGGGGCAGAGCAGGUAGGCGGGUGAUCCAGGUAAGGCGGCAGGUGUGCAGGGAGAUGCGUGGGGGGAUUGCAGAGAGGCUCGGGCAGGAAAUGCUCUUUGAGAAUGUCCAGACAGCACGGUGACAUCUGGAAAGCGAGGGGGUGUGGAAAGACACUUGCCAACACCUUUUCUCGCUUACCAGCUUUUGGGUUGCCAGCAGUGAUGAAGGUGCUUGCAAAGAUCAGUUUUCUUCAGUUUCAUCUCAGAACAUAGGAACUAGUGGAUUUCCUUUUCUCCUCACAGAUGAGAAUUGCUGAUGAGAAAAGGCCUAAGUCCUCCCAUUUCCAGACUCUGCUGAGGACUGGUUUAAAUAUCAGACGGCCUCUUCAAACACCAACAGGUCAGAAGGGCAUAAACCCUCAUUCAUUCCUGAAGAAGAGCUGAAAGCUUGGGCACAACUUCACAGCAAACCUGCCGGCAUGUGGUUGUCCGCCAACCAUGCUUGAAGUUCGCUGGUUUUGCUCACGUAUACAUUGGGACAAAGCAUUUCUGAAGGAGGGGCCGCUGUGUCUCAAUAACAUCCAUCGCUACCUUUUUGGGGGGGAUGGUGGGGAGUGAUUGGGACCCUCUUUAAAUAGACCCCCGUGGCUACUUAGGCAAAGUGUGAUGCCCUUGCAGCUCUGUGGAGUCAGAAGCCCACUCACCAGACUUUGAAAGGGUCUUGCUUUUCAAAAGGUCACACGUUGCUUAUUACACAGAGGCAGGGAGAUGGUGCUGCACAGGUAAGUGCCAUGCCCCGCAGAAAACGCUGUGCUGAAAAUCUCCACCUCUACAGAAAAGGCAAAGAACUUGUUCUCAGUUAAAAGGCUGCAGAUACACAAAGCGCAACUCCAGCUCCUGUUGUGUUUAUGGACAAUGGCUUAUUCCACCAAAGACCAAGGAAGACAUGAUGACUGGAGAGGGAUGGUGUUACAUCAAAAGGAGAGAGACACGGGGCUCUUCAGGACUUAACUGAAGUAGUUAAAAGAUAGGAGUAAAUAAGGGGGUUCCUUCCCUAUUCUUCACAUUGUAUCCCUCUGGCAAAAGUGGGAAAUUCAAGAUUUCCAAGGCAGUCAGAGGUCUAAAAGGACGCUAGCCAUGGUGAUUUGCACAGCAGUUCCUUCAUUCUG